AGCGAACGCUGGCGGCAGGCUUAACACAUGCAAGUCGGGCGGGCACUUUCGGGUGUCAGCGGCGGACGGGUGCGUAACGCGUGGGAACGUGCCCUCUGGUUCGGAAUAACUCAGGGAAACUUGAGCUAAUACCGGAUACGCCCUUUUGGGGAAAGGCUUGCUGCCGGAGGAUCGGCCCGCGUCUGAUUAGCUAGUUGGUGAGGUAACGGCUCACCAAGGCGACGAUCAGUAGCUGGUCUGAGAGGAUGAUCAGCCACACUGGGACUGAGACACGGCCCAGACUCCUACGGGAGGCAGCAGUGGGGAAUAUUGGACAAUGGGCGCAAGCCUGAUCCAGCCAUGCCGCGUGAGUGAUGAAGGCCUUAGGGUUGUAAAGCUCUUUUAUCCGGGACGAUAAUGACGGUACCGGAGGAAUAAGCCCCGGCUAACUUCGUG
Molecule: ribosomal RNA, 435 nt
Filed under: uncultured bacterium
Lineage: Bacteria
Description: partial 16S ribosomal RNA
Rfam family: Bacterial small subunit ribosomal RNA
Source: RNAcentral